CAGUAGCCGCGGGAAUACGAAGGGUGCAAGCGUUAAUCGGAAUUACUGGGCGUAAAGCGCGCGUAGGUGGUUCAUUAAGUUGGAUGUGAAAGCCCUGGGCUCAACCUGGGAACUGCAUCCAAAACUGGUGAGCUAGAGUACGGUAGAGGGUAGUGGAAUUUCCUGUGUAGCGGUGAAAUGCGUAGAUAUAGGAAGGAACACCAGUGGCGAAGGCGACUACCUGGACUGAUACUGACACUGAGGUGCGAAAGCGUGGGGAGCAAACAGGAUUAGAUACCCCCGUAGUUCCUGUCUCUUAUAC
RNAcentral lists this ribosomal RNA (301 nucleotides) under uncultured bacterium. Its description in RNAcentral is "partial 16S ribosomal RNA". It matches the Rfam family "Bacterial small subunit ribosomal RNA", at positions 509 to 807 of the family's 1533-position model. The record is from RNAcentral.